RNAcentral lists this long non-coding RNA (1215 nucleotides) under Equus caballus (horse). RNAcentral describes it as "lncRNA (ENSECAG00000055874.1)". Lineage: Eukaryota; Metazoa; Chordata; Mammalia; Perissodactyla; Equidae. The record is from RNAcentral.
GUUCCCGCAGGCACCCAGGCCUCCGCCAGCAGGAAUUUUUGGUUAGGUUUUGUGAGAGGAAUUCAAAGGCCCAUUUGUGUGACUAUCUGGCAAACAUCCCAGGCCCCAUGGAAGCCUUUUAAAUUGGGGACGAAGUGGAAAAUUAAGCCCUGAAGGUAACUACCUUCCUGCAGAGAGCGAGACCAAUCGAUUAGAGCCGUGCCAUCUCCCCGCUGGGAGCUGGAUGCGGAGGAGGCUGGAACAGCCAGCAGAGCCUCCUGGACUUCUUCUGUUUUCCUCUGAGCCCACGGUGGCCCCCUGCCCCGGUAUUGCCUCUAAUCUGGAGGGUGUGCUCUCUGGACCUCAUCCCAGGGGGCCGAGGUUUCUCCCAGGGCUGGAAGGCUUUUCUCUGUGUGUGGCGGCUGGAAAUAUUUCAACUGAGGGCAGGAGGAGGCUCUGCCAAGACCGUCUGUCCUUCCUCACUGUCCUCCGAGGCUGCACCGAUGGACAGCGUCUUCCUGCAGCGAAAUCUGUCCCUCGGGGCCCUCAGGCUUCUGAGGAAAGACGAGGGGAGGCCACAUCUGUGGGUAUUUGCUGUGGCACCUUCCUGGGGCUGCUCUGUGAGGCUGGAUUGUAUUCCGUGGUGUUUUCCUUGGCUCAUCACCAAACACAGCUUGCUUGGAGGUGGAAGAAACGAAUUUGUUAACAAUUCUCAGGCAGAACAGGCCAGAGGGAGGUAGGGGGCAGAAUUAGAGGCAGAACUACGGCCAAGACUGCAGGCCGAGUGACAUGCCCUGGUCCAGCUGCUGCCUUGGCCUCUGGCCUCAAGCCAAACCUCACCCUCAUGCCCUUCAAGGCCCCUUCCACCAGGAAGCCCUCCUGCUGUUCCACCCCAUUACCAGCACUCUUCUGCCUCCAGGACGAGGCCUCCACAGCAACUGGCUGGGGCUCGAUUUGUCAUUUUGAUUUGGUUUUGUUCUCAAGGUGGAGCAGCCCUGUUUCAAAGUCCCCUGCUCCCGAGUUACAGGGGUGAAUGUUUCCUAAGCCCAGGGCACCGUUGUUUGUCUGUUUUGUUUUUAAUAGACUUUACUUUUUUAGAGUAAUUUUAGGUGCACAGCAAAAUUGAGGAGAAGGUACAGAGGCUUCCUGUAUACCCUCUGCCCCCCAACAUGAACAGCCUCCCCCACUAUCCACAUCCCAAACCACAGUGGUCCAUUUGUUCCAACUGAUGAACCU